RNAcentral lists this long non-coding RNA (700 nucleotides) under Salvia miltiorrhiza (redroot sage). RNAcentral's name for it is "long non-coding RNA (SMIL_LNC008103)". Lineage: Eukaryota; Viridiplantae; Streptophyta; Magnoliopsida; Lamiales; Lamiaceae. The record is from RNAcentral.
AAUGAUUCUAAGCCUUUAGAUCUAAAGAAUCGGAUGGUGUAGAUAAAUUCGAAAAAAAUAAAAAUAAAAACUGAAAACUGCGUGGACUACAGAAUUUUACCAAAUCAGAAUGCGGAGGGUUUUUUUCGGAAAUUCACCACAAAGGUAAAUCAAGUAGUUCCGAAAAUCACUCCAUCCAUCUUUCAUCUACGAAAUUCACUAUCGCCGUUUCAACCAUUCUCGAAUAGGGUUUUCGAAAAUUCACUCUUCCAUCGCUGCGAAUUAGAAGAUUUGAAGUCGCCAUUUGGAGUAUCUUCGAGAUUUGGAGAAGAGUAAACAACGAUUAGAAGACUUGAUGACGAAAUUGGGAGAGGUAUGUUCGAAACUUUUAGAAAGGGAACAAUCCACUACCAUCUUCCAAAACCAGACGAUGUGGACGGAGGCUCGUCGACCAAGUUGUGCUGAAUGUGCAUGAUUUGUCAUUUGCAGCCGUGUUUUCCUGGAAGUCAGUGGAGAUGCACUUGAAGAUGUAUGCUGUGAUUUGUUGAUUUAGUCGCAGAGCUUCUUGUUCAUUGGAUUGAAUAUUUUAUUCAUCGAUAAUUGUGUUAUGUUCAUUAAGCAAUUGUUAUUUGUUCAUUGAAAAUUUGUUAUUAUUCAUUGCAAACUAUAUUCAUGAAUUUUCAGUAAUUACAAUGUAUGAUUAGCAGUUACAUUAUUUACC